ACUUUUCUUUCACGACUAUAAAAAUAUUUUAGCAAUUUAUUUCACAAAAUCAAUUGCACACAUUUAAAAUAAAGUUUGUUUACACUUUGACAGCAAUAGACUGACAUGCAAGGUGACAUGUCAAUGAAGUUUUCAGUUACUGUUGCCAUUAAAAGAAAUUAGUACCAUUAGUUUUCCGCAACAUGGCGAGGGUUUUUAUGUUCCUGGUCAGGCUAUAAAUACAAAACAAAAUAUAAAAAAAAAAAAGGUAGACCUAAAAUAUUACAUUUACAAAAUAUUUAUAAAGAUAAACUCCACAAUUGUUCCAAGUGCACUAAACAAAAUAACGAGACCAGAACACAAUCAGUUAACGGUAUAAUUAUUAAAUAAAAAAUAAAAAAACGGUAUAACGUUUUCACUAUAAAAAAUAACUAUAAUACUUAUGUGAUCUGUGAGGCGGCUUCGGACUGCCGACCUGUCGUUGUGUUGAUUCGGACCGUAAAAAAGAGAAAAGAACAAUAAAAAAAAAAGAAAAAGUCAAUAGCGAAAGGACGCUGUGUUCAGCCGUGUUUUUCUGAUUUGAUACGAAAUACGUGCUAUAAUGUUGAUGCGAAAAUUUUCACUGUGCGAAGCGUCUCAAAACAAAACAAAACACGGCGGAAACCGGAAAGGUGUGAGGUGCAAAAUGUGACACACGUCCUGCAGGGCAGAUGCUAUUAAAUGGAGUAAGAGGAGCGAGCAACUACGGCGAGCACGACGCGCAAAGUCCCCUGGGCGCGCCCAGACUUCGGCCGAGAGAGAUAAAGCGACCAUGCUGAAGCUGUCCCAAAAAGCCAUCCGACUGUUAAUUACGGCGGGAUCGCCCCGCCAACCCCUGCAAGCGCGACGACGGCAUAUAGGUUGCGCAAAGGAGGUGGCAGGUCGUUCCAACACCGUGUGGCAGCAAAUCUGAAAGAUCCCCUGAACGCCACGGUGCGAUGCUUUGGGGUGGCAAAGAUGUGUGAGCAGACCCUUCUGGAGUGACCCUCCCUGCUCCCGGCCCAGUCAAGCUUAUCGUACAAAUACCUUGGUCUAUGUGUGGCAAUGAUACCAAACAUCAUGGUAGCGAGAUGUAAUUUUUUACGAGCAGCCAUUUUCAGUAUAUUGGCAGCGUUGAGGAAUGGGGUGACAUGCGCUCGAGGUGGCACUGUGAAGCAGAAGCGGGCACAAGCAUUUUGCACUCUUUGCACCAGCUUGGCAGACCUGGCCAUGAGACAGGGUCCAUACACAGUGUCACAGUAGUUGAGCUUACUGAGGACAAGGGACUCACAUAGUGCAAUUCGUAUACUCUCGCAUAGAUAUGGCCUUAGCUUGUAUAAUAUUUUGAGUCUGUAGAAGCAGUUUCUUGCGCAUUCAGUAAUGUGGGUUUCAAAUCUUAGCUGGCUCUCGAAAAUGAGUCCCAGAUUUCUAACCUUAUCCACUUUCUCGAUCCGUUCUCCAUUAAUCUGGAUAUCGAGAGACUUAUUCGCUAGUUUGAUAGUGUUUUUAGGGGUUCCUAUCAGUAUUAACUGAGAUUUUUUAGGGUUCAGGGUAAGACCGUUCGAGACGCACCAAGCAGAAACCCUCCCCAAGUCAUCAUUUACCUUGAUCACAGCUGCGUCACACUUAUCAGGCUCAAAUGGAAGGUACAAUUGCAAGUCAUCUGCAUAAAUGUGAUAGUUGCAAUAUUUGAUGCUAUUUAUGAUGUCAGCACUGUACAAGAUGUAUAAAAUUGGCCCUAAUAUCGAGCCCUGGGGGACCCCGCGAGUCACCUGGUGGACCUGCGAACGCAAAGAAAUACCAUCCUCCCGCCUCAGUUCCACGUACUGCUUUCUUCCUGACAAGUAACUAUGGAACCAUUUUACAGAACUACUAUCAAGACCAUAAUAAUGCAGUUUAGACAGCAAGAGCGAGGUGUUGAUAGAAUCGAAGGCACGCGA
Ostrinia nubilalis (European corn borer) is the source of this 1937-nucleotide long non-coding RNA. RefSeq lists it as uncharacterized. Lineage: Eukaryota; Metazoa; Arthropoda; Insecta; Lepidoptera; Crambidae. The transcript has 3 exons. The record is from RefSeq and is a predicted model, not a curated record.